This 642-nucleotide long non-coding RNA is filed under the name Ananas comosus (pineapple). Its description in RNAcentral is "long non-coding RNA (ACOM_LNC036633)". Lineage: Eukaryota; Viridiplantae; Streptophyta; Magnoliopsida; Poales; Bromeliaceae. The record is from RNAcentral.
CGUUUUCAUCUGAAAUUUGACGAGUGCUUAUGUAAUUAUAUUACACAUAAAAACAUUAUCAACAAAGGGUUUAAUUUUUAUUACUAAAAAUCUUGGUUAUUACAAUCAUCGAAAACAAAUCGUUAGUAAAACGGCUCGUUUACUACCGAUAGUAUUCUAGUUCAACUCUAUAUAUAUAUAUAUAUGAGCUAGGCUGGUAUACUAUCGGUAGCACGGAGGCCUCCAUGCUACCAAGUUGUUUUCAAUGAUGCGGCUUCUAAAUCGACGAUCGGCUCCGUUAGACUUGAUCUACACUAUUAAAAAUAUUUGGAAACUAAAUUUCAUAAUUUUUCGGCGUCAUUUACCAAUCAAACGAGUAGUCUAAAAAUGAACGGCUAAAAAUAAAAAUCUCAUAAAAAACAGUGAUAAAGAAUUCAAAUUUCAAAUCGGAAGUAUUGGUCUUGCUAUUGAUGUUAAGUAGAAUUUUCUAUUAAAUUUUCAUCUAAUUUGGAUACUUCUACACCGUUGAACUUAAAAACGCAUCAUAUCUACCAUUAAAAUUGUUAAUUUUGGAACCUUUUGAUCACUAGCCAAAUGAUGUCGAAAAAUUAUGAAAUUUAGUUUCCAAAUACUUUUAAUAGUGUAGAUCAAGUCUAACGGAGC